UCUCUCUCUCUCUCUCUCUCUCUCUCUCUCUCUCUCUCUCUCUCUCUCUCUCUCUCUCUCUCUCUCUCUCUGUGUGUGUGUGUGUGUGUGUGUGUGUGUGUGUGUGUGUGUGUGUGCGUGCGUGUGUGUGUGUGUACACAAAUCACUUACAAGUCGAAUUCUAUGUAUAUACCCUGGCCAGGUCUCUCUUGUAAAUGAGACCAUUCGAUCUCAGUGGGACUUCCUGCUAAAAUAAAGGGUUACAGGGAACCUGGAGCCUAUCCCAGGGAGCAUCAGGCACAAGGCAGGGUACACCCUGGACAGGGUGCCAGUCCAUUGCAGGGCACAAUCACAUAAACUUUCACACACACCCAUUCACACACUACAGACACUUUGGAUAUGCCAAUCAGCCUACCAUGCAUGUCUUUUGACUGGGGGAGGAGACCAGAGUACCCAGAGUACCGGGGAGAACAUGCAAGCUCCACACACACGGCCCUGACAGGACUUGAACCUCGGACCCUGGAGGUGUGAGGCAGAUGUGCUAACCACUAAGCCACCAUGCACCCGGGUUUCGUGCAUGUGAAUGAAAAAAUAUUGAGAAAAAAGUGAGACGGAAGUACCCUCUUAUAUAGUGGACACUCAAAUAACUUAUUUCUAACAAUAAAAGUCUUAUUUAACAAAUAAAAACUUUUAAUCAUUUGCUAUGA
This is a long non-coding RNA of Ictalurus punctatus (channel catfish), 686 nucleotides long. RefSeq lists it as uncharacterized. The transcript has 2 exons. NCBI's taxonomy places the organism in Eukaryota, Metazoa, Chordata, Actinopteri, Siluriformes, Ictaluridae. The record is from RefSeq and is a predicted model, not a curated record.